Molecule: ribosomal RNA, 761 nt
Filed under: uncultured Prevotellaceae bacterium
Lineage: Bacteria; Pseudomonadati; Bacteroidota; Bacteroidia; Bacteroidales; Prevotellaceae
Description: bacterial SSU rRNA
Rfam family: Bacterial small subunit ribosomal RNA
Source: RNAcentral
AUGGAAGAAGCUUGCUUCUUCUGAUGGCGACCGGCGCACGGGUGCGUAACGCGUAUCAAACCUGCCUCAUACUCGGGGAUAGCCUUGCGAAAGUAAGAUUAAUACCCGAUGUUGUUAUGUUUCCGCAUGGUGAUAUAACCAAAGAUUUAUCGGUAUGAGAUGGUGAUGCGUCCGAUUAGGUAGUAGGCGGGGUAACGGCCCACCUAGCCUUCGAUCGGUAGGGUUCUGAGAGGAAGGUCCCCCACACUGGAACUGAGACACGGUCCAGACUCCUACGGGAGGCAGCAGUGAGGAAUAUUGGUCAAUGGACGGAAGUCUGAACCAGCCAAGUAGCGUGCAGGAUGACGGCCCUCUGGGUUGUAAACUGCUUUUAGCUUGGGAAUAACAAAGAGGACGUGUCCUCUAUUGUAUGUACCUUCAGAAAAAGGACCGGCUAAUUCCGUGCCAGCAGCCGCGGUAAUACGGAAGGUCCAGGCGUUAUCCGGAUUUAUUGGGUUUAAAGGGAGCGUAGGCGGAUUAUUAAGUCAGUGGUGAAAGACGGUGGCUCAACCGUCGUUAGCCAUUGAAACUGGUAGUCUUGAGUGCAGACAGGGAUGCUGGAACUCGUGGUGUAGCGGUGAAAUGCUUAGAUAUCACGAUGAACUCCGAUCGCGAAGGCAGGUGUCCGGGCUGCAACUGACGCUGAGGCUCGAAAGUGUGGGUAUCAAACAGGAUUAGAUACCCUGGUAGUCCACACAGUAAACGAUGUAUACUCGCGGUUU